RNAcentral lists this long non-coding RNA (1380 nucleotides) under Lactuca sativa (garden lettuce). RNAcentral's name for it is "long non-coding RNA (LSAT_LNC000050)". The record is from RNAcentral. Lineage: Eukaryota; Viridiplantae; Streptophyta; Magnoliopsida; Asterales; Asteraceae.
GGUUUUAUAAAAAAAUUCAAAUUAGUUAGUGUUCUAAAAAAAACAAUAUGUUGUUAUUUUAUGAUCUUAGCAGAAGAAUAAGAAACUAACAGCAAAGUUCUGUUGUGCAACUAUUUUUGGGAUUAUAAUAUAACAACUUAUGUUUUGUUUUAUACAUAACUAAUCAAUCCAACAAAAUCAACCAAAAUUGUUUUCAAAACAAAACAAUCUUGCAUAGAAUUCUGAUCACACUAAAAAAACCUUGGCAACAAAUAUAAGCAACCAAGAUCCCAAGCACUGCCCUGCAACCACAUGUGAUGUGUGCCCAAACAGCCCCUUCAACUUUCUUUCACUCAUGGGAUGACCUUGAAACAUGUCCUCUACAAUCAGAUUCAGAAAGUAAGUUUAUCUACACAUCAAAUAAACAACACCACAAAUAUUUAUAAAAUAUGUUUAGACAACAAAUAUUGAACAGUGAACACAAACAAAUUUCAAAAAUAAACUCACCAAAAUCUAAAAAUCUGAUUUCUGAAAAAGUAUAUAUAAAUCUGAUUGCUGAAAUAGUAAAGAAAUUAGAUACAAAUCUGAUUUCGGAGCUGAAACUUGGAGAAAACAAUACAGAAAUCACCCAAAUCUGAUUUCAGAAACAAUAGAGAAAUUAGAUCCAAAAAAUCAAUAACUCUUAGAGAAUAAAUCAGAUAUAUAAGAAAUAAAUCCAAUUUCUGAAAGAAACCUAAAUAACACAAAUUUCAAGUUUAAACUUACCCUGUUACCCAAAUAUGAUUUGAUGAUUUCUGAAACAACAAUAUUGAGCACAAACACAAACAUAGGAGAAAUCUGAUUUAAUGUCUAAAGAUUGAAACAUAAAUAUGAUUCUGAAAUAGAAAAUUUAGAAUGAACUAUUUUGGACUCUGACUAUUUUUUCCUGUAAUAAAAUAGAUAAGAAAUCAGAUCAUCAGAUGAAUAAUAAAUCAAAGAUUUCUGAAACAAACCUAAAUAAACACAAGUUUCGAUUGAACUCACCUAAAUCUAAUUUCUUAAAUAACCACGAAUCACAUCCAAAUCAGUGAACUACUAAAUCAAAAAUUCAAAAUCGCCUUUUGCUGUACCAAAUUAGAGAAAACCAUACCAGAUUUGAGAAAUCGUGACUAAGUCUCAACUAAUAAUGAUUAUUAUAUUGAGAUUUGAGAGAAAUAUAAUAUCUAUUAUCGACCGGAAACAAAAGGAAACAUAAGAGAAAUAUGUUCUUACUGUUUAUUUAUGAGAGAAGUAUUCUAGGUGGGCAUUGAUUUCUCCCAUCGAAAGCAACGCCAGCGGGAUUCUAGGCACGAAAGGCGUUUGGUUUCUCUAUAAGCAGAUCGAUGAUUGCUUGGAAUUGGUGCGUCUUCCCAGCUUUCUUUC